GCGCCUGUGGCGAAAUUGGUAGACGCGCCAGACUUAGGAUCUGGUGUAGCGAUACGUGUAGGUUCGAGUCCUAUCAGGCGCA
Molecule: transfer RNA, 82 nt
Organism: Prevotella sp. CAG:891
Lineage: Bacteria; Pseudomonadati; Bacteroidota; Bacteroidia; Bacteroidales; Prevotellaceae
Rfam family: tRNA
About the family: Transfer RNA (tRNA) molecules are approximately 80 nucleotides in length. Their secondary structure includes four short double-helical elements and three loops (D, anti-codon, and T loops).
Source: Rfam